This 223-nucleotide long non-coding RNA is filed under the name Elaeis guineensis (African oil palm). RNAcentral's name for it is "long non-coding RNA (EGUI_LNC061285)". Lineage: Eukaryota; Viridiplantae; Streptophyta; Magnoliopsida; Arecales; Arecaceae. The record is from RNAcentral.
AUCCCUUUAUUGUGUGAUCCCAUAGGUUCAAUUAUAUCUGGUAGUGAGAUAUACAAUGAUCUCUAUCAUAGUAUCAUUGAAACUCUUUUCAAUAGGUAAGAACAAUUUCACUCUAACUCAUCAUGGAUUGUCGAUCCUGAGCAAUCUCACAAUCCACCAGUGACACCUAGCAGUAUGUAGUGGCAAUCCAAUAGAACGAAAAAGAACUUUAAGGUAUAGUUCG